This 491-nucleotide ribosomal RNA is filed under the name uncultured bacterium. RNAcentral describes it as "partial 16S ribosomal RNA". It matches the Rfam family "Bacterial small subunit ribosomal RNA", at positions 28 to 507 of the family's 1533-position model. The record is from RNAcentral.
GGUGAACGCUGGCGGUAGGCCUAACACAUGCAAGUCGAACGGCAGCACAGUAAGAGCUUGCUCUUACGGGUGGCGAGUGGCGGACGGGUGAGGAAUACAUCGGAAUCUACUUUUUCGUGGGGGAUAACGUAGGGAAACUUACGCUAAUACCGCAUACGACCUACGGGUGAAAGCAGGGGAUCUUCGGACCUUGCGCGAUUGAAUGAGCCGAUGUCGGAUUAGCUAGUUGGCGGGGUAAAGGUCCACCAAGGCGACGAUCCGUAGCUGGUCUGAGAGGAUGAUCAGCCACACUGGAACUGAGACACGGUCCAGACUCCUACGGGAGGCAGCAGUGGGGAAUAUUGGACAAUGGGCGCAAGCCUGAUCCAGCCAGACCGCGUGGGUGAAGAAGGCCUCGGGUUGUAAAGCCCUUUUGUUGGGAAAGAAAAGCAGCAGGUUAAUACCCCGCUGUUCUGACGGUACCCAAAGAAUAAGCACCGGCUAACUUCGUG